AACGAACGCUGGCGGCAUGCCUAACACAUGCAAGUCGAACGAGACCUUCGGGUCUAGUGGCGCACGGGUGCGUAACGCGUGGGAAUCUACCCUCAGGUUCGGAAUAACUCAGAGAAAUGUGAGCUAAUACCGGAUGAUGACGUAAGUCCAAAGAUUUAUCGCGUGAGGAUGAGCCCGCGUAGGAUUAGGUAGUUGGUGAGGUAAAGGCUCACCAAGCCGACGAUCCUUAGCUGGUCUGAGAGGAUGAUCAGCGACACUGGGACUGAGACACGGCCCAGACUCCUACGGGAGGCAGCAGUGGGGAAUAUUGGAAAAUGGGCGAAAGCCUGAUCCAGCAAUGCCGCGUGAGUGAUGAAGGCCUUAGGGUUGUAAAGCUCUUUUACCCGGGAUGAUAAUGACAGUACCGGGAGAAUAAGCUCCGGCUAACUCCGUG
Molecule: ribosomal RNA, 433 nt
Filed under: uncultured bacterium
Lineage: Bacteria
Description: partial 16S ribosomal RNA
Rfam family: Bacterial small subunit ribosomal RNA
Source: RNAcentral